RNAcentral lists this transfer RNA (85 nucleotides) under Tepidimonas alkaliphilus. Its description in RNAcentral is "tRNA-Ala". The record is from RNAcentral. Lineage: Bacteria; Pseudomonadati; Pseudomonadota; Betaproteobacteria; Burkholderiales.
GAUGCCGUGUACCCCGAUGGGUAAGGGGGCGGGGGCGGCGCAAGCCGCCCGCGUUGAUGUUGGUUCGAGUCCAACCCGGCAUCAC